This 747-nucleotide long non-coding RNA is filed under the name Rattus norvegicus (Norway rat). Its description in RNAcentral is "long non-coding RNA NONRATT023903". The record is from RNAcentral. Lineage: Eukaryota; Metazoa; Chordata; Mammalia; Rodentia; Muridae.
CUGAGGACACAGGCUCUUCCUCACUGACCUCUGUUCUCAGGUGUUACCAGAUAGACAAGCAACGGAGGCCAUGGAGGCUGCGGGCCUGCCCGCCGGCCCUCUGGGUUUGAAAAGGCCCCUUCCGGGACAGCCGUCCGAUCACAGCUAUGCCCUUUUGGACUUGGAUACCUUGAAAAAAAAACUCUUCCUCACGUUGAAGGAAAACAAGAGGCUUCGGAAGCGCCUGAAAGCCCAGAGGCUGCUGCUUCGGAGGACAUGUGGCCGCCUGAGAGCCUACAGGGAGGGACUGCGGGGACAGAGGGGACCGCAGGCCGACGCAGCACAGGGAUGCUGAGUCCCAGCAGGCUCUGGGAUGUGGGGAUGGUGGCAGCACCCUGGCAGGAAGUGGUGUUCGGCCCUGCUGUAGAUGAUCCCCCUCGCCACUGAUGCUGCAAGGUGCCCUUAGACAGGCAGGGUGGGAUGCUGUGAGGCGGUUGUCAGGUGAGGGCCCAACAGUCAGGUCUCCUGGGCUGAGGCUUUCAGCUGUGGGGCAACAACAGUGACCAAAUGUAAGCUGUCACAACCCUGUCAGCUACUCCCCAGGGAAGGAGAGGUGAUCAUUCUUACAGCCUGUGGGGUACUUACUGUCUCCCCAGAGGGGUCACUCUGAGGGUAGGCAGGGCCGGGGUCCUCCAUCAGCCUGGAUUUCUGAGUAACUCCUUGUCUGCCUGGUUUGUGUGAAUGUGGAAUAAAUCCUUUGACAUCUCC